CUCGUAGGUGGCCAACUAAGUCGGACGUGAAAUCCCUCGGCUUAACCGGGGAACUGCGUCCGAUACUGGUUGGCUUGAGUUUGGGAGAGGGAUGCGGAAUUCCAGGUGUAGCGGUGAAAUGCGUAGAUAUCUGGAGGAACACCGGUGGCGAAGGCGGCAUCCUGGACCAACACUGACGCUGAGGAGCGAAAGCCAGGGGAGGCAAACG
This 208-nucleotide ribosomal RNA is filed under the name uncultured bacterium. RNAcentral describes it as "partial 16S ribosomal RNA". It matches the Rfam family "Bacterial small subunit ribosomal RNA", at positions 568 to 775 of the family's 1533-position model. The record is from RNAcentral.